This 491-nucleotide ribosomal RNA is filed under the name uncultured bacterium. Its description in RNAcentral is "partial 16S ribosomal RNA". It matches the Rfam family "Bacterial small subunit ribosomal RNA", at positions 29 to 507 of the family's 1533-position model. The record is from RNAcentral.
GUGAACGCUGGCGGUAGGCCUAACACCUGCAAGUCGAACGGCAGCACAGUAAGAGCUUGCUCUUACGGGUGGCGAGUGGCGGACGGGUGAGGAAUACAUCGGAAUCUACUUUUUUGUGGGGGAUAACGUAGGGAAACUUACGCUAAUACCGCAUACGACCUACGGGUGAAAGCAGGGGAUCUUCGGACCUUGCGCGAUUGAAUGAGCCGAUGUCGGAUUAGCUAGUUGGCGGGGUAAAGGCCCACCAAGGCGACGAUCCGUAGCUGGUCUGAGAGGAUGAUCAGCCACACUGGAACUGAGACACGGUCCAGACUCCUACGGGAGGCAGCAGUGGGGAAUAUUGGACAAAGGGCGCAAGCCUGAUCCAGCCAUACCGCGUGGGUGAAGAAGGCCUUCGGGUUGUAAAGCCCUUUUGUUGGGAAAGAAAAGCAGCAGGUUAAUACCCCGCUGUUCUGACGGUACCCAAAGAAUAAGCACCGGCUAACUUCGUG